This 865-nucleotide long non-coding RNA is filed under the name Olea europaea (common olive). RNAcentral's name for it is "long non-coding RNA (OEUR_LNC008261)". The record is from RNAcentral. Lineage: Eukaryota; Viridiplantae; Streptophyta; Magnoliopsida; Lamiales; Oleaceae.
UACAGUAAGUUCUUAUUGUCCAUAGUGAAAAUCACUGACUUGGUCCCGGAGUUUUUAACCCUGUAAUGGAUUUCCUCCGUCAACAAAACAUGUGUUAUUUACAGUUUUAUUUGCUAUUGUGGCAAUUCAACAUAAGAUAGAAUUGAUUUGAUCGACAAAACAUCUAGAACAACUAAAAAGUGACUCGUUGCUUUUAAUUGAUAAUUUUAAUUUCACGUUAUUCACCCCCUUUAGUUGAUUUUAGGAUCGAACUAGUAACUUUCAAUCUUGUUAUUUUUACAACCAUUCUUGUUUUGCAACCUUGGAUUGCCACUAGCAACUCCUUAACUCCCCUAUUCAAUUUGUUUCUCAACUUUUUCCAUAUUAUCAGAUCGAUUUUCGUGAAAUGGUGUUGGGAUUUGAUGUAUUUUAGCAGCUGGGUUUCGAUAUAUAUGUGAACAUUGGUGUAAAUUUGUUAAAGAUAAGGUCGUUCUUUUAUAGACCGCUUGGUUAACUUCGGGGUUGAUUUUCUUGAACCGUAACGGGAUUUGAUGAAUUUUAUCAGCUGGUGAUGUCUUUGGAUUAUGUGAUUCUUUGUGUAAUUGUUUUUAAUAUAUUUGGAAAGCUAGAUAAGUAGGACUGGCCGCCGAAAUAUAGAAAACUAAAUUUUAUUCAUCGAUGGUGCAGUAAUAAUGUAUACCAAGGAUGCAUUUGGAAAUUUUGAUUGUAGUUUUGAUAUGCAUUGGUUGUGGUGCUUUCAAAAAAUGAUGUUAGCAGGUCGAUUUUUCUUGAAACAGGAUAGCGAUUUGAUGAAUUUGAUCAACUGGACCAUCUUUGAAUUAUGUGAUCUUGGUGUAAUUGAUUUUCGUUAUAUUUUGUAAGCUAG